CUUGAUAAAAUAAAUAUAAGGGGUCCUGCCUGCCCAGUGACUGAGAAGUUAAACGGCCGCGGUAUCUUGACCGUGCGAAGGUAGCCAUAAUCAUUUGUCUCCUAAAUAGAGACUGGUAUGNAUGGCAAGACGGAGCUCCACUGUCUCCUCCUCUUUAAUCUGAAUUUCACAUUCCCGUGAAGAGGCGAGAAUUAAAUCGUAAGACGAGAAGACCCUGUCGAGCUGUAGUUAAACUUUAAUUGUUAUUUACCGUUGAUCCUAACUAAUAUGUAUAAAAGUAGUGGGCCCAAAGCAUAACAAAUUGAAAUACGCUUUGAUUGGGGCAAUCCCGGAGAAAGAAAAUCCUCCGUUACUAUAUGGUUUUAUUAAACCUAAAAUAAAAGAACUAUCCUUCUUAAAUCAUAGAAAUGAAGGCGUGNUCCNCUUNCAGUGAUCAAAAGAACAAG
RNAcentral lists this ribosomal RNA (446 nucleotides) under Echinocardium pennatifidum. Its description in RNAcentral is "partial 16S ribosomal RNA". It matches the Rfam family "Bacterial large subunit ribosomal RNA", at positions 1830 to 2445 of the family's 2925-position model. The record is from RNAcentral. Lineage: Eukaryota; Metazoa; Echinodermata; Echinoidea; Spatangoida; Loveniidae.